GAUGAACGCUGGCGGCGUGCUUAACACAUGCAAGUCGAACGGUGAAGCCCAGCUUGCUGGGUGGAUCAGUGGCGAACGGGUGAGUAACACGUGAGCAAUCUGCCCCUGACUCUGGGAUAAGCGCUGGAAACGGCGUCUAAUACUGGAUAUGAACCGUGGAGGCAUCUUCAACGGUUGGAAAGAUUUUUUGGUCAGGGAUGAGCUCGCGGCCUAUCAGCUUGUUGGUGAGGUAAUGGCUCACCAAGGCGUCGACGGGUAGCCGGCCUGAGAGGGUGACCGGCCACACUGGGACUGAGACACGGCCCAGACUCCUACGGGAGGCAGCAGUGGGAAUAUUGCACAAUGGGCGCAAGCCUGAUGCAGCAACGCCGCGUGAGGGAUGACGGCCU
RNAcentral lists this ribosomal RNA (389 nucleotides) under uncultured bacterium. RNAcentral describes it as "bacterial SSU rRNA". It matches the Rfam family "Bacterial small subunit ribosomal RNA", at positions 28 to 417 of the family's 1533-position model. The record is from RNAcentral.